CCUGCUUCACGGUUCAUCAGGAGAAAUCAUCCUGACUCAGACUCCAGGAUCUCAGGCUGUUGUUCCAGGACAGACUGUCUCCAUCAAAUUUUCUGAUCGUUUCAGUGGAAGUCAGUCUGGAACUGAUUUCACUCUGACCAUCAGCAGAGUUCAGGCUGAAGAUGCAGGAGUUUAUCA
Fundulus heteroclitus (mummichog) is the source of this 177-nucleotide long non-coding RNA. RefSeq lists it as uncharacterized. Lineage: Eukaryota; Metazoa; Chordata; Actinopteri; Cyprinodontiformes; Fundulidae. The record is from RefSeq and is a predicted model, not a curated record. The transcript is spliced from 3 exons.